AAUUUUUGAGGCUGUCAGCUGACAGCUGUCAACCCUUAAUGGCACUUAGUAUGUGACAGGCAAUAGGUUUUGGUGCCUCCGUAUGCCUUCUAUCUUCCUUCGUUUCACUUCACUGCUUCGCCCACCACCUCAGGAGAUGACAGCGCACCUGCACUAGUCAGCUCUCGCUAACCCUGUCUCUCUUUCUCCGUCUUAGCGCUCGUCAUUCGUGUCCUUCUGCUGGGGCGAGGUUGAUACUGUUGUGUCGUAGUUUUUAGGCAAUAGUGGCUGUUGUUCGCGUGACGAUCAGGAUUUAUGGAGAAAGACGACGACUCGCCAAGUUCCCAUGCAGCCACAGACGGCGUAGCAAUUCUUACCGCCAACCCUUCGAGCAACGGAACCGGCCUGAGUUGGAAAUCGUGUGUGUGUAAUUGUGCCACGAUACGGAUGAAACACACAGGCUCACAUGCGACGAGAUGAAGAUAAUCUCAACAGGCUGAUGGAAAUCCAACAGGCUCACGGGAACGCUGCAGUUAUGGUCGGAGACGCGGAGUUAUUUAGUCACUGGUAAAUGUUGCAUCGAGUGCUGUGUGCUCGAUUUAAACACAAUUGUAAAAAUCAUGAAAAAGCGAAAAUAAUGCAAUGGUGGGGCUGAGUGGUGUUCUGUGGAGGAGAUGUCGCUGUCUCAGUAUUCAACGCCGGACCCUGUAUUUCAAGUCUGUGGUCAUGCUCGAUCAUAAGUUCCUGUAUGGCUCCAGUGCCUUCUCAGCAUUGUUGGCGGGUAAGCACCUGGAUCGUGUCCAAGUACUGCGGCUCUGGUGGCUUGAUGGAUGUACGGGUGCUCGCCGUGCACCCCUGCCGGCAAUCUGCUAGUGAAGCUUGGUAACUACUGUGUCCGGGAGAUUUUCAUCCAGAAGCUGAUCUUCCUAGGCUGGAGCUGCUGCUACUCCUGUGCUAGCCCUCAACCACUGGCGCUCCUACUCGGCUCCAGUAUGGGCCAUUAACCACCCUGCCCGAUUUCGCACUGUUGCUAUUCCACAACGUCAGCAUUUAACUCUGAGGUCAGACCUUGAUCCCUCCCACCAUAUACUAUCUGUCUGUCUGCCUCUCUCUCACACACAGAUGUGCGCGCAUACACACAAACACACAUGCACACACACACACACACACACACACACACACACACACACACACAUGCACACACAGUGACACAAACAUACACAUAGCCAACUUCUCUGUGUUUGGUGAUCAUCAUCUGUUUUCUGAUGUGCAAGCUCACCUCUGAUGCCGAUUACUUCCUUGCUUAGACCCGGUCUGCUAUUAGACCAGUCUGCUCUCCCUUCACUCGCUUGUAAAUUCUACUUGGAGCAGUAAGGUUGUGUCACUGCUCCUACUGAUGUCAUUGUUGUGAAAGCAAUAUCAUCGCCAUUGGUGGUAAUUUUCCACCGUGCAUGAAUCAUUAACAAUCAUCAUCUAUGUGUCACGGCCUAACCAUCCUCGUAACUCCCCUCAUCGUGACUAGUGCUGUACCGUUGAAACCUACUUUGCUUCAGUGUAUAUUCUCUCCAAAGCUCUUGUUUUGUUGCAUAGUGAUCUGACGCAGUGUGCUAUAGCCUAUCGGGUAAUAUGGAUAAGAUUA
Long non-coding RNA from Sycon ciliatum, 1618 nucleotides. RefSeq lists it as uncharacterized. The record is from RefSeq and is a predicted model, not a curated record. NCBI's taxonomy places the organism in Eukaryota, Metazoa, Porifera, Calcarea, Leucosolenida, Sycettidae. The transcript has 2 exons.